This 1947-nucleotide ribosomal RNA is filed under the name Triticum aestivum (bread wheat). RNAcentral describes it as "partial small subunit ribosomal RNA". The record is from RNAcentral. Lineage: Eukaryota; Viridiplantae; Streptophyta; Magnoliopsida; Poales; Poaceae.
AUGGACCAUGAAAUCAAUGCUUUGGAGCGCAUGCUGCUGGAUGAAAGCGCAGAGCCAACAGAUCUGCCAUUUUCACUUCUACAAGACAUCACAAACUGUUUCUCUGACGACCGGCGAAUCGGCAGCGGCGGGUUUGCGGUUGUUUAUAAGGGGAUGACCAGACAUGGGAUGGUCGCUGUAAAGAAGCUGUCCAAACUCUUUGACAUAGAAGAGAAGAAGUUCCACAAGGAGGUUGAAUGCUUGGUGAAGGCCAAGCACAAGAAUAUAGUACGAUUUCUGGGAUAUUGCGCUGAAACACAAGGUAAAAUUGCGGACUACGAGGGGAAGUUUGUCAUUGCAGAUACACGCAACUGGUUGCUCUGUUUUGAGUAUGUACCCAAUGGGAGCCUUGAUAAGUAUAUUGCAGACCCAUUUCAUGGAAUUGAAUGGAGGGAGCGCUUUGAGAUAAUUAAGGCAAUAUGUGAGGGCUUACAUUAUCUUCAUGGCAAGCGUAUUCUUCAUUUGGAUCUCAAGCCUGAGAAUAUACUGAUAGAUGAUCACAUGGUACCCAAAAUUGCUGAUUUUGGUCUUUCGAGGUGCCUUAGUGAAGAGCAAACCCAGGUUUUCACUACACACCUAUGCGGAUCGUGCGGAUAUUUGGCACCCGAAUUCUUUAGUGGACAACUGACAUUCGCGUCUGACAUAUAUAGUCUUGGUGUUGUAAUUAUGGAGAUACUAACAGGAAAGAAGGGGUAUCCAGAAGAUGAGAACGUAGUUGAAAAUUGGAGGAAUCGGCUGGAGGGGGGCAUGCAGUUGGAGCAAGUAAGUGUAUGCACUCAUAUAGGGAUAGAGUGCAUGGAGCCGAACCCGAAGAAAAGACCGGCCGUACGGCAUAUAGUCGAUAGGCUUGCUGAAAUAGCAAGUAUUGUCCAAACAGACAUCACUGCUGCAUCAGUUGAGCAGCAGGUAAGCUUCGAGCAGCACAGAAUAGUAAGUACUUCUACAAAUGAAAUAGAGGAUGGUGCACAACGUCUUCAAAGGCUUCAAAAUGACCAAUGCCAGGAGAAGGAAGAUCAAUGGUCAAUACGGGGAUUGCAAGAUACGAAUCAAGACCCGAAAUACACAGGCAUUUCAAGCUCUAACUCUGGUGUGUCCGAAAAGUUGAGAAAUUUGAACAUCUUAAACAGAAAUCCACACACGGAUUUCGUGAGGAAUGGUGGAUCUACAAUGCAGCAACCAAAUAGUUUAAAGAUCUUCCUAGAGGAGGAGCUCAAGCCUAUCUUACAUACUGACAAUUUAAUUGGAGAGAAUGAAAAUGGUGUAGUUUACCGUGGUCAGCUCAUAGAUGGGACUGAUGUUGCAAUUAAAAAGUUACGUAAUGGCAUGGGCCAGGCAGAAAAGGAGUUCAGAGUGGAAGUUGAGGAUAUUGGCCAUGUAAGGCAUGAAAAUAUUGUCUGUCUGCUAGGAUACUGCGUUGAGGGAAUCCACAGGAUACUUGUGUAUGAGUAUGUCAACAAUGGAAACUUAGAACAGUGGAUGCAUGGCGCUAUGCGGCAACACGGUGUUCUUACUUGGAAAGCUCGAAUGAAAAUUGUUCUUGGAAUUGCUAGGGCGCUUGCUUAUCUACAUGAAGCCAUAGAACCAAAAGUUGUUCAUCGUGAUAUCAAAGCAAGCAGCAUCCUAAUCGACGAGGAUUUCAAUGGGAAGCUUUCCAAUUUUGGAUUGGCCAAGCUGCUGGGUGCAGGGAAGAGCCAUAUCACAACUCGAGUUAUGGGAACUUUCGGGUAUGUGGCCCCUGAAUAUGCCAACUCAGGUCUGUUAAACGAGCAGAGUGAUGUCUACAGUUUCGGUGUGCUGCUACUAGAAGUAUUGACUGGGAGGGAUCCUAUUGAUUAUGAUCAGCCAGCUAAUAUCACCAUUAAAUCAUAUAUAUAUUGUUCUUUGGUCAAUUUCGUUGUACGGGUUUGA